This 622-nucleotide long non-coding RNA is filed under the name Salmo salar (Atlantic salmon). Its description in RNAcentral is "lncRNA (ENSSSAG00000090338.1)". Lineage: Eukaryota; Metazoa; Chordata; Actinopteri; Salmoniformes; Salmonidae. The record is from RNAcentral.
UGCCCGCAUCCUCCUUCCUUAUGACACCGCUAUGAGGUGAAAUAGAGCCAAGCAACCAGCAUAGCAACAAACGCUUUGGUUCAUUAUGUAAUCCGGUAAGAAUUUUGCAAGUUCUAGCAACAGCCCUAGCAACAGAAGCUAAAACUCAUCGAAUCCCAUUGUGACAUAGAGGGGGACUCUAUUUGGUCGGGGGACACUAUUUGGCAAGACAGGCCCCAUUUAAAAAAAACUAGUGUGACAGGUCAGUCAAGGCCUCAUUUCACCAAAGUGAUUCUCGUCUUGAAGCACAGUUCUGUCCUACGGAACAUUUGCUUUUCAAUAAAUGUGCUUUACUGCAAGGUGCUGGUGUGAAAUAGCAUUCUAUUCAGCGGUUCUGGGUGAAAGACAAAUAUAAAUUGGGCUGGGAAGUAGGCCAGGUGGCCAGGGACAGGCAGGGGAUGGCACAGUACAGCUCGGCACAGCACAUGGGGAAGGAUGAUGUAGCCUAGCAGUGUAGCACAUCUGGAAAGACUGACUGCUGAUGCCACAACCACAUUUUUCUGCAUGAGAAAACUUCUACAUAAACAAACCUACUUCUAGUGUGAAAGAAGGCUAUAACUCCACAUUUCCUAUUCUUUUUUUA